UGGCCACAUCAUGUUGAAACAUUGGUUCUCAUACGAUCACCAAAGUUAAGCACUGUCAAGCCUGGUCAGUACCUAGAUUGAUGACUGCCUGGGAAUACCAGGUGUUGUAA
Molecule: non-coding RNA, 110 nt
Organism: Acanthosepion pharaonis
Lineage: Eukaryota; Metazoa; Mollusca; Cephalopoda; Sepiida; Sepiidae
Source: the annotation of a GenBank genome assembly